This 253-nucleotide ribosomal RNA is filed under the name uncultured bacterium. RNAcentral describes it as "partial 16S ribosomal RNA". It matches the Rfam family "Bacterial small subunit ribosomal RNA", at positions 524 to 776 of the family's 1533-position model. The record is from RNAcentral.
GACGUAGGGCGCGAGCGUUGUCCAGAUUUAUUGGGCGUAAAGAGCUCGUAGGCGGCUUGUCACGUCUGCUGUGAAAUCCCGGGGCUCAACCCCGGGCGUGCAGUGGAUACGGGCUGGCUAGAGGCAGGCAGGGGAGAACGGAAUUCCCGGUGUAGCGGUGAAAUGCGCAGAUAUCGGGAGGAACACCGGUGGCGAAGGCGGUUCUCUGGGCCUGUACUGACGCUGAGGAGCGAAAGCGUGGGGAGCGAACAGG